RNAcentral lists this ribosomal RNA (48 nucleotides) under Brassica nigra (black mustard). Its description in RNAcentral is "partial 25S ribosomal RNA". The record is from RNAcentral. RNAcentral also lists the same sequence under 9 other names. Lineage: Eukaryota; Viridiplantae; Streptophyta; Magnoliopsida; Brassicales; Brassicaceae.
GCGACCCCAGGUCAGGCGGGAUCACCCGCUGAGUUUAAGCAUAUCAAU